Molecule: unclassified non-coding RNA, 343 nt
Filed under: Hevea brasiliensis (rubber tree)
Lineage: Eukaryota; Viridiplantae; Streptophyta; Magnoliopsida; Malpighiales; Euphorbiaceae
Source: RNAcentral
UCGAGGCAACCGUAGGGCCCAAGGCGGCAGAGCUAAAGCAGAAUGCCUUAAAAUGGAAGGCAGCUGCGGAGGCCGCUGUGGCUGAGGGUGGUUCCUCCUACAGGAAUAUAGAAAUUUUUGUGAAGGAGGUGAGGAGGAGAAGCGUUGAGAUGACUAGCAAGUCAAGCAACCUCAAUGGAAUUGUGGAAGAAAUAAGAGUUUAAGACGGUCUCUAGUCUAUUAUCUAUUUGGAUUUUUCUUUUUUAAAUUCGAUUCCCCGUGAAUCAAGAAUAAGAAUAAAUGAUGAAACUUAUUUAUUAAAUCUCAUAUAUUUACCUUAUUUCUUCCACAAUUCCAUUGAGGU